GAAAUCCUACAGCUUAACUGUAGAACUGCACUUGAAACUUCUAACCUAGAGUAUGGGAGGGGCAGAUGGAAUUUAGUGGUGUAGGGGUAAAAUCCGUAGAUAUCACUAGGAAUACCUAAAGCGAAGGCGAUCUGCUGGAACAUAACUGACGCUAAGGCGUGAAAGCGUGGGGAGCAAACGGGAUUAGAUACCCCGGUAGUCCACGCCCUAAACGAUGAACACUAGUCGUCGUGAUGCUUGUCAUUGCGGUGAUGCACUUAACAGAUUAAGUGUUCCGCCUGGGGAGUACGGUCGCAAGAUUAAAACUCAAAGGAAUAGACGGGGACCCGCACAAGUGGUGGAGCAUGUGGUUUAAUUCGAAGAUACGCGAAGAACCUUACCUAGCCUUGACAUUGAUAGAAUACUGUAGAGAUACGGUAGUGCCCUUCGGGGAGCUUGAAAACAGGUGCUGCACGGCUGUCGUCAGCUCGUGUCGUGAGAUGUUGGGUUAAGUCCCGCAACGAGCGCAACCCUCGUUCUUAGUUGCUAGCAGGUUAAGCUGAGCACUCUAAGGAGACUGCCUUCGCAAGGAGGAGGAAGGUGAGGACGACGUCAAGUCAUCAUGGCCCUUACGGCUAGGGCUACACACGUGCUACAAUGGGGCGUACAGAGUGUUGCGAUACCGCGAGGUGGAGCCAAUCACUUAAAGCGUCUCUCAGUUCGGAUUGGAGUCUGCAACUCGACUCCAUGAAGCUGGAAUCACUAGUAAUCGUAGAUCAGCAAUGCUACGGUGAAUACGUUCCCGGGUCUUGUACUCACCGCCCGUCACACCAUGGGAGUUGAUUUCACCCGAAAUUGGGAAGCUAACCUUCGGGAGGCUACCACUUACGGUGGAAUUAGCGACUGGGGUGAAGUCGUAACAAGGUAACCA
This 910-nucleotide ribosomal RNA is filed under the name uncultured bacterium. Its description in RNAcentral is "bacterial SSU rRNA". It matches the Rfam family "Bacterial small subunit ribosomal RNA", at positions 596 to 1502 of the family's 1533-position model. The record is from RNAcentral.